CAGUCGCCGCGGUAAUACGGAGGGUGCAAGCGUUACUCGGAAUCACUGGGCGUAAAGGACGCGUAGGCGGAUUAUCAAGUCUCUUGUGAAAUCUAACGGCUUAACCGUUAAACUGCUUGGGAAACUGAUAAUCUAGAGUAAGGGAGAGGCAGAUGGAAUUCUUGGUGUAGGGGUAAAAUCCGUAGAUAUCAAGAAGAAUACCUAUUGCGAAGGCGAUCUGCUGGAACUUAACUGACGCUAAUGCGUGAAAGCGUGGGGAGCAAACAGGAUUAGAUACCCCCGUAGUCCCUGUCUCUUAUAC
Molecule: ribosomal RNA, 301 nt
Filed under: uncultured bacterium
Lineage: Bacteria
Description: partial 16S ribosomal RNA
Rfam family: Bacterial small subunit ribosomal RNA
Source: RNAcentral